This 156-nucleotide ribosomal RNA is filed under the name uncultured archaeon. RNAcentral's name for it is "partial 16S ribosomal DNA". It matches the Rfam family "Archaeal small subunit ribosomal RNA", at positions 748 to 903 of the family's 1478-position model. The record is from RNAcentral.
UAGCUGUAAAGCAUGCGGGCCAGGUGUCUGGUGUUCCUCGAGAGCACCAGGUGCCGGAGAGAAGUCGUUAAGCCCGCCGCCUGGGAAGUACGGUCGCAAGGCUGAAACUUAAGGAAAUUGGCGGGGGAGCACCACAAGGGGUGGGACCUGCGGUUC